RNAcentral lists this ribosomal RNA (520 nucleotides) under Excirolana braziliensis. Its description in RNAcentral is "partial 12S small subunit ribosomal RNA". The record is from RNAcentral. Lineage: Eukaryota; Metazoa; Arthropoda; Malacostraca; Isopoda; Cirolanidae.
UCAGCAGUCCGCGGUUAGACUGAGGACCUUAAACCUUAGUAGCCCUUGGCCCUAAAUUUCUUUUAAAAAGGGGGGGUGAAAUCCCCUUUUUAUAGAGAAUAGCUUUUCGGGCUUAACCCUCCAGGAUAAACCGGGAUUAGAUACCCCGCUAUAUGGAGAGGGUUCGUAAGGGGGGUAGUAACGGCUAGGUCCCCCAAACCCAAAGAACUUGGCGGCAGCUUACCCAACUAGAGGAGCCUGCCCCGUAACCGAUACCACCCGUUAGUUUGACCUUCCGUAUGUUUGUAUACCGCCGUCUAAUCUUUAACUUCUAGGUUAAGGUAGCAAGGCCACCCCCUAAGACAGGUCGAGGUGCAGCGUAUCGGAAGGUGGAGGUGGGCUACAAUUCCUCUGGUAGCAGACUUUUCUAUUAUAGGAGAAGGCAAGAUGGAUUUAGAGGUACCGGGGGGUUAAUACCCCCCCGCGAAUUGGAUUUAAGCCGUGUACAUAUCGCCCGUCACUCUCAAUAAACUUGAGAUAA